Non-coding RNA from Dipodomys ordii (Ord's kangaroo rat), 55 nucleotides. Lineage: Eukaryota; Metazoa; Chordata; Mammalia; Rodentia; Heteromyidae. The record is from Rfam.
GGGAAGGUAGCUCAGUGGUAGAGCGCUUGCUUUGCAUGCAUGAGGCCUUGGGUUC